CGUUAUGAAGCUAUGUUAGCAUUAACCUUUUAAGUUAAAGACUGAGAAACCUUAUUCUCCAUAACGA
Molecule: transfer RNA, 67 nt
Filed under: Kannabateomys amblyonyx (Atlantic bamboo rat)
Lineage: Eukaryota; Metazoa; Chordata; Mammalia; Rodentia; Echimyidae
Description: tRNA-Lys
Source: RNAcentral